RNAcentral lists this ribosomal RNA (1457 nucleotides) under metagenome. RNAcentral describes it as "bacterial SSU rRNA". It matches the Rfam family "Bacterial small subunit ribosomal RNA". The record is from RNAcentral.
AGAGUUUGAUCCUGGCUCAGGAUGAACGCUGGCGGCGUGCUUAACACAUGCAAGUCGAACGGGAACCCCUGGAUUCGUCUGGGGGGGAGAGGCGAACGGGUGAGUAACACGUAGGUGACCUGCCUCGAAGACGGGGAUAACCACUGGAAACGGUGGCUAAUACCCGAUAGUCUCGACGAUUCGGUUCGUCGAGUAAAUGUUCCGGCGCUUCGAGAGGGGCCUGCGGCCCAUCAGCUAGUUGGUAGGGUAAUGGCCUACCAAGGCAAUGACGGGUAGGGGACGUGAGAGCGUGACCCCCCACACUGGCACUGAGACACGGGCCAGACUCCUACGGGAGGCAGCAGUGAGGAAUAUUGCGCAAUGGGCGAAAGCCAGACGCAGCAACGCCGCGUGGGUGAUGAAGGCCUUCGGGUCGUAAAACCCUUUUCUGGGAGAAGAGCAAGGACGGUAUCCCAGGAAUAAGCCUCGGCUAACUAUGUGCCAGCAGCCGCGGUAACACAUAGGAGGCGAGCGUUAUCCGGAUUUACUGGGCGUAAAGAGCGUUGAGGCGGCCUUGUAAGUUGGACGUGAAAGCUCCCGGCUCAACUGGGAGAGGUCGUUCAAUACUGCAAGGCUUGAGGACAGCAGAGGGGGGUGGAAUUCCCGGUGUAGUGGUGAAAUGCGUAGAUACCGGGAGGAACACCAGUGGCGAAGGCGGCCCCCUGGGCUGCUCCUGACGCUGAAUGCGAAAGCUAGGGUAGCAAACGGGAUUAGAAACCCCGGUAGUCCUAGCCGUAAACGAUGGAUAUUAGGUGUAGGGGGUGAAAAUUCCCUCUGUGCCGAAGCUAACGCGUUAAGUAUCCCGCCUGGGGAGUACGGCCGCAAGGCUAAAACUCAAAGGAAUUGACGGGUCUCCGCACAAGCAGCGGAGCGUGUGGUUUAAUUCGAUCGACGCGAAGAACCUUACCAGGGCUUGACAUGCAGGUAGUAGUGAAGCGAAAGCGGAACGAUCCCUCGGGAAGCCUGUACAGGUGCUGCAUGGCUGUCGUCAGCUCGUGCCGUGAGGUGUUAGGUUAAGUCCUGUAACGAGCGCAACCCUCACCGUUAGUUACAUGUGUCUAGCGGAACUGCCCGGCAAAACUGGGAGGAAGGUGGGGAUGACGUCAAGUCAGCAUGGCCUUUAUGUCCUGGGCUACACACACGCUACAAUGGCCGGUACAAUGGGUCGCCAAGCCGUGAGGCGGAGCCAAUCCUCUAAAGCCGGUCUCAGUUCGGAUUGUAGGCUGCAACUCGCCUGCAUGAAGCUGGAGUUGCUAGUAACCGCAGGUCAGCUACACUGCGGUGAAUACGUUCCCGGAGAUUGUACACACCGCCCGUCACGUCAUGGGAGCUGGUAACACCUGAAGCCGGUGGGCUAACCUAACGGAGGCAGCCGUCGAAGGUGGGACUGGUGACUGGGACGAAGUCGUAACAAGGUA